UCUCUAUACUUCAUCUCCACGCUCUCAUAUCUAACCCUAGACCUGCCGCCCUAUACUCCUUUACCAUCUUCAACUGGCGGUGGAGCUCAAACUUCCACUAAAAUCCAACCAUACCACUAUCACUCAUCCCUGAGUCCCAAUCCAAGACCACUUCUCCCAAAUACUCAUUGAAUCGGACCUGUAUAGAAUCUAAAAACGAAGAAAAGAAAAUUUUUCAAGUCUUCAAGUUUCAAUGAACGAUUGGACCUGAAACUAGUAUUGUUCUUUUGUUCUCAAAGAGAACAUGCGGUUAAUACCAACUUCGGAUCAAAUCAAAGUCGCCUAAGGUUUUUCAAGCUCUAUCCGUGUGACCAUCUACAUAUCUCUAUUCUUUUCUCCUUCUUCUCCGUCUUCUGUUCUUUUCUUGUCCUCGUCUCCUUCUGUUUCUUCUCUUUUUUUCUUAUUUUAAUGUUUAAACGUAAUUCUAUUUGCAUGAUUCGGAUUCUGAGUCUUUCUCUUCUUCAAUUUGGGUGUAUUUUGGCUCUUAAUGAAAUGGAAAUUAGAAUAUCAAUAUCUUGGUAUAAUUUGAUUGAUCAGUUGAUUUAAUUGCUUUAAAUUACUGUUUCCCGAGCAUCUCUAUUAAAAUAUUUUUCUUCUGAAAAAUUCAUAGGUUUGUUUGUUUAAAAGUUUCAACUAAGUUCAGGGUUUGAAAACUCAGUUUGGGCUAUAGUAUACAUGUCCAUAGGUUGGGGUUUUGGUUUAAAUUGACCCAUAAGUUGAGUUUCUCUGAAGGUAAAUAGCAACUUCUUGGAGGGUAUUUGGGAGAUUUUAAUGGAGGGAAUUUUUUGUAACUGCCUAAGGAAGCUGCCAGGAAAGUGGGGGAAGGGAUUGGUUUGCAAAAUAUAUUUUAAAUUAGGGCCUGAAGUGAGUAGAGGGAAUUUAGGGAAGGGGUAAAUGGUAAGUUUGAAAACUAACUACUGCUACCCGAAACCCCUCUAUAAAGGUCCUAUUUCCUGAAUUAUCAAGGGAGAUCAGAAGUUAGGAAUUAGAAACGGCUAAAAAACAAAAACACUGAAAAAAGUUUGAAGAAUCAGAAGAAAAUACAAAAAAAAAAACCGCAAAACACCAUUACUUUAAAGCUUUUUGUGUAAUUAUUUGGGUUUUAAAGUUUGAAGUAAUCCUGGAUUCAUUCUGGGCUUGAAAUAGUUUAAAGGAGCUGAAUUUGCCAUUGAUCUGCUGAAGUGCAUCUGACUCUGCUGCUGAUCUUCUCACCUUUUUCUUUGCUCUAAUUUUUCCAAGUAUUCUUUUGAACUGUGACUGGAAAUGAAGCUUGAUUGAGUUUAUGUGUGAAGAGCUGUAAACCAAGCUGAAGUAAAUCAAAAACAUUAGUCCCUGUUGUUGAUUACUGCUUGACUCUGUCAUAUUUUAUUCAUGUUUUUUUCUAGUCUAGCUUGUUUUGUAUACUUCAUUCCCUGAUAUUAAAUUUGGCCUUGAGUGCUGGAUUUGGACUUUGUUUGAAUAUAGUUGAUUCAAGAGCGCUUUAGACUUAGCAUAAUAUGUAUUAAUUGAGGAUUGUAACUUUUAGUUUAAUUAGUUGAGGCUGGCUGGUUUGGAUGUACUUUUCAUAGCUAUGGUUUAAAUGCUUAUCAGUUUAGAUCAUUCAUGUUGUUGGUCUAGCAAACUUGAUUUAGGUUAACUCCUAUUAAUCAUUUUAGACUUACUCCUGUAUAGCUUGAAACAUAGUCCAAUGAUUUCAGGAUUGUCACUUUCUACUUUUGCUUGUGUUGAGCACCUUGCUUUUUUAAAAAUGACUUUCGAAUGGGAUUUGAGCUUAAACUUAGACUUGAAAAUUAUCACAUUUUGAUUAGCUCAUCACAUUUGAUUUUAUUUGGAAAGUUUCGAGUCGUGUGGCCUUGUUUAAAUGUGUUGGUUUGAAUCAGAACUUAGCAUGAGUUGUGAUCUUGAGUUUUGAUGUUAAAUAAUGAACAAUUUGUGUAAAGGCUUGUUAUUAUAACUGGGAAUCUUAUUUUCAUUAUAGAAUGAAUGCUGG
This 2029-nucleotide long non-coding RNA is filed under the name Nicotiana benthamiana. RNAcentral's name for it is "long non-coding RNA (NBEN_LNC010955)". Lineage: Eukaryota; Viridiplantae; Streptophyta; Magnoliopsida; Solanales; Solanaceae. The record is from RNAcentral.